This 474-nucleotide ribosomal RNA is filed under the name uncultured bacterium. RNAcentral describes it as "bacterial SSU rRNA". It matches the Rfam family "Bacterial small subunit ribosomal RNA", at positions 28 to 507 of the family's 1533-position model. The record is from RNAcentral.
GAUGAACGCUGGCGGCGUGCCUCAAACAUGCAAGUCGAGCGGGGCUAUGUAAUACCGCAAGGUAGAACAUAGCCUAGCGGCGAACGGGUGAGUAACACGUGGGUAACCUGCCUGGAAGACAGGGAUAACGAUUCGAAAGGGUCGCUAAUACCUGAUAAUAUCCUUUCAUCGCAUGGUGAUAGGAAGAAAGGGGAAACCCGCUUUCAGAUGGGCCCGCGUCCCAUCAGCUAGUUGGUAAGGUAAAGGCUUACCAAGGCGACGACGGGUAGCCGGUCUGAGAGGAUGUACGGCCACACUGGGACUGAGAUACGGCCCAGACUCCUACGGGAGGCAGCAGUUGGGAAUCUUAGGCAAUGGACGAAAGUCUGACCUAGCGACGCCGCGUGAGGGAAGAAGGCCUUCGGGUUGUAAACCUCUGUCAUGGGGGAAGAAGUAAGUGACGGUACCCAAGAGGAAGCCCCUGCUAACUACGUG